RNAcentral lists this ribosomal RNA (441 nucleotides) under Blastocystis sp. subtype 5. Its description in RNAcentral is "SSU rRNA". It matches the Rfam family "Eukaryotic small subunit ribosomal RNA", at positions 96 to 545 of the family's 1831-position model. The record is from RNAcentral. Lineage: Eukaryota; Bigyra; Opalinata; Blastocystidae.
GCUCAUUAUAUCAGUUAUAGUUUAUUAGAAAUACUUUACUACUUGGAUAACCGUAGUAAUUCUAGGGCUAAUACAUGAAUGAAUCCUCAACUUCGGAAGAGGUGUGUUUAUUAGUAUGAAAACCAUCUAUCUUCGGAUAGUAUCGUGAGUAAUAAUAACCUUUCGUAUCGUAUGUCUUUGGAUAACGAUAGUUCUUUCAAGUUUCUGCCCUAUCAGCUUUCGAUGGUAGUAUAUGGGACUACCAUGGCAGUAACGGGUAACGAAGAAUUUGGGUUCGAUUUCGGAGAGGGAGCCUGAGAGAUGGCUACCACAUCCAAGGAAGGCAGCAGGCGCGUAAAUUACCCAAUCCUGACAUAGGGAGGUAGUGACAAUAAAUCACAAUGCGGAACUUUUUAGUUUUGCAAUUGGAUUGAGAACAAUGUACAAAUGUUAUCGAUAAAC